This 2036-nucleotide long non-coding RNA is filed under the name Panax ginseng (ginseng). RNAcentral's name for it is "long non-coding RNA (PGIN_LNC008568)". The record is from RNAcentral. Lineage: Eukaryota; Viridiplantae; Streptophyta; Magnoliopsida; Apiales; Araliaceae.
UUCCUGUAUCUGGCCGUAUUCGCCUUAUCUGCAAAGUUUUAUCAUGAUAUAGCAAGGGUGAGCAUGAAAGUUGCCCAGCAAGUUUUAAAAAAAAAUAAGGUAAAGAUAUAUCAUGAUUGAAAGAGUUUGAAUAGUAAGCUGGCUAUCCUUCACAAUGUAGUUGUGAAUUAGCAUGAACAAAAUUUCAAAGUUGAAUGAACAUUGAAAAUGAACAUAACAAUUAUAUCUAAACUGACUGGUAAUGAAGGUGAUCAGCCUUUCAUACCUGAUGAAUACAUGCAAUAUGUGCAGAGUACAAUUCAUAAGCAUAUCUGUCUAAAACCACUCUUAAAAGAGUUUAAGUAAAAAGAACUUGAAAAACUUGCACCAUAAUUGGAAGUUCAAGUUUAGGAACUUGCCUGUACCGUUGAUUACCGUAACACAAUAUAAUACGCUUCUCCUGAAGACCUAAUAUUAAUAAUAUAGAUCUCCAGUAUUAGAAUAAUAUCAUCACAGUUAUAAAAUAACUUAAACAUAUUACCACAUAAUCUUAUCAGUCUCUUAUACACAUAAGACAUAGCUUCAAGUCAAACUAUUACAGUCCGAGUUGAAAUCGGUACAAUUCUUUCAUCCUGAUGGUCUAAUCGGACAAUUAACGAGUCUAAAUUUAAUUAAACUCUGCCUAAACACUUAACGAUAUCACAGAUAAUUUUCUUAUCAGUAAAAACAUUUUUCUUAGACUUGUAAAAAUUUUCAGAUAAUUAUUACCAUUUAUCAUGCUUUUUCGAUCAUUAAUAACGUAUUUAAAUAAAUUAAAUACCACAUAAUUCUUUAAUUAUUAAUAUCUAUUUAAUAUCAAAUAUUAAUGAAAAUCAUUACAUAAUAUUAUAAUAUAAUUUAUAAUAUAUCACGGUAUUUUUAAUACCUUAAAAUCACAUUUAUAUGAUUUUUAAACACUUAAAAUCAUUAUCCGAUAAUUGAUAUUAAUAAUAAAAUAUUAAUAUUUUCAUGCCAAAAUAUCAAAAGUUAUAGUUUAUAACUUAAAAUAUUUUUCUAACACUUAAAUCAUUGUUAUAUGAUUUUUAAAGCAUUAAUUCUAUUUUUCCGUAAUUUAUUUAAUAUAUUUAUUAAAUAAAACAAUUAUCAUUAGUAUUGAUUAAUUAAUGAAUUUCAUCACAAAAUAUUAAAAGUCAUUAAAAAUAACUUAAAAUAUUUUAUAACAUCAUAAAAUGACUUUUCAUGAUUUUCCAUGAAUUAAAAUUAUAUUUAAAUCAUUUAAUUAGUAUUAUAAUUAAAUAAUUAAAUACCUAUAUGUAAAUCCAUUAUCAGGCGACCUCCAAACCCGGCGGCGCAAAUCAGCUCUGACGACAAUUCUUCAAUUUCGAACCCAACUACGUGAAGUGGAGCAUCCCAAUCCUCCAUCUUGUUUGGAGCAUCUUUCUAUUGUGCCUUACCAAUCUCUUUUGCUCACCACCAUAGUAUUAAACCCGGUGACUUGCCGGUCGUCGUUUAUUAUCUGGUAUGCCGCUUCUUUUGGUAUCGAAUUCUCACCCAUCUUAAGCCUGGGAUGGUUGCAUGGUCUGCUGCCGAAAAAUCAAGAACUACCGUAACGUAUCAACACCAAGGCUUGAACCAAGAUGACCCACAGUCUUGGAAACAUUGAAGAUGACAACGUAUACGUUCCAUUAUUACCCGUCAAAGACCUCAGCCCAUUAACAUUCGUUUUCCGGCGAAGGAGUCCGGUUUUCGACCCUUGGGUGCUACUUUCCAGUGAGAUCAGUGAGUAGAGCUCUGCUGUACAUAUCAUUGACAACACAUCCCUCGACAAAAAUGACAUACGGGUUGAGUAAGUGAAGAAAUACUCCUCUUCAACAGAACCCAUAAUCCCUCUCUCUCUCUCCGAUCACCGGGCUGUCACAUGAUCUCGUCGGAAACAUUAAUCCAGUCCAGCAGUCGCUCCACCGGAUCUUCCAUGAAACUGGGAUGGUCGGCGGCACAAACCAGCUCCGACGACGUCAUCCUCCACCAGCCAUGAACGAUUAUAUAUAUAUAUAUAU